CAGGGCUCGAACCCACAAACAGUGAGAUCAUGACCUGAGUUGAAGCCAGUCACUUAACUGGCUGAGCCACCCAGGCUCAGUCUCUUAAAUGACUAGAACGGGUAUGCCAACUCUGUGUGGUCGGGUUAUACGUUUGUUUUUUUUUUUUUUAAUUUUCCAUUUCUUCUCUUUUAAACAACAUUUGUCCGAAUAAUAAGACAGUAGCACCAAAAGGUGGCGAUGGAAGACAGUGCAGGCCAAACCGCUAGUUUGGUCCAUGAAUAAUGAACUGUCUGGGUGGAUACGGAGGCUGUAUGCCAUCGCGUUGCGGGUAGCAAGAGUGGGACAGAAGGGAAAAGGGCCUGCCCGAGAGGAAAGGCAGGUGACCAGGAUCCCUACAAAAAAGGCAAAGUGGUACGAGAAGGUACCAUGUUAUGUAAUCCCAGGUAAGUAAAAGCACGAAUGGAUCAGGUAUGUUCUGCCAAUGGGAAAGGAUACGGAAUACUCUCCUGAGCAAAAUUAACCUCAUUCUCGCAUUCUCUCAGACAAAGUGAAUAUUCUCAAGAUGGAUUUUAUUACAGUUGAUUCUCUGAAGAAUCCUUGAGCCUCCCAUAUCAUUUUUUUAGGAUAGAAAUGCCUAUUGAUGUGCCAAGCCUGCCUCCUCCCAUACCGGGAUGCUCCAGCAACCUGGAUGCACAUGGAAAUAUUUGGCAUUCCAAACUGGGAAUCCCACAGCAUAUCAUGAGUCAUCGUAAUGUUGUAACUUACAAAACUAAAGCUUGCAAAUGUUAUUUUGGUGGAAUCUGGAAUUGCUGUGCUUUUUAUCUAUGUCUUCAGAGUAAUCGUGUUACAGGAUUUUAAAGUGAGAAAUGAUAUAGAUAAUGCCUAUCCAUAAAUGCGACUGUUAUGUUGGGAAAAUGUGUCCUCCAUUGUUGCUGUAGCAAAACGUUUAUCAUUAAAAUGCCAAACAUCUCAGUAAAAUUUCAAACUUUCAGUUGAGUA
Herpailurus yagouaroundi (jaguarundi) is the source of this 981-nucleotide long non-coding RNA. RefSeq lists it as uncharacterized. The record is from RefSeq and is a predicted model, not a curated record. Lineage: Eukaryota; Metazoa; Chordata; Mammalia; Carnivora; Felidae. The transcript is spliced from 2 exons.